Molecule: ribosomal RNA, 467 nt
Filed under: uncultured bacterium
Lineage: Bacteria
Description: partial 16S ribosomal RNA
Rfam family: Bacterial small subunit ribosomal RNA
Source: RNAcentral
ACGAACGCUGGCGGCGUGCUUAACACCUGCAAGUCGAACGGAAAGGCCCUGCUUUUGUGGGGUGCUCGAGUGGCGAACGGGUGAGUAACACGUGAGCAACCUGCCCUUGACUUUGGGAUAACUUCAGGAAACUGGGGCUAAUACCGGAUAGGAGCUCCUGCUGCAUGGUGGGGGUUGGAAAGUUUCGGCGGUUGGGGAUGGACUCGCGGCUUAUCAGCUUGUUGGUGGGGUAGUGGCUUACCAAGGCUUUGACGGGUAGCCGGCCUGAGAGGGUGACCGGCCACAUUGGGACUGAGAUACGGCCCAGACUCCUACGGGAGGCAGCAGUGGGGAAUAUUGCACAAUGGGCGGAAGCCUGAUGCAGCAACGCCGCGUGCGGGAUGACGGCCUUCGGGUUGUAAACCGCUUUCGCCUGUGACGAAGCGUGAGUGACGGUAAUGGGUAAAGAAGCACCGGCUAACUACGUG